Long non-coding RNA from Lathyrus oleraceus (garden pea), 297 nucleotides. RefSeq lists it as uncharacterized. The transcript is spliced from 3 exons. NCBI's taxonomy places the organism in Eukaryota, Viridiplantae, Streptophyta, Magnoliopsida, Fabales, Fabaceae. The record is from RefSeq and is a predicted model, not a curated record.
UUCCUAAAUCAACCGGUCGGCCCAACCAAAACCAAGACUCUCUCUCAGUCUCAAAUCUCAAUUCAUUAGUUCCACUUCUUCGUGAGAUUCAUACGCACAAACAGCAACGUUACUCCGCUAGGGUUCAUCAUUCUCUCAGUUCGUGGUUUCAUCGUUUAACGAAGAACCGUCGCCGUCCAUUAUUCAACCACAAAUCACCACCGAUAUUGAUUUUGUGAAGGUGUUGUCGGUAAAUAUUGUUCCUACUCAGCUCGCCGACAACUUCCGGAAUAAGAAGCCUGAGGUUUUACUCUUGAC